CUGAGGAGUGAAAACUGCAAAUUAGAGAAACUGAACCUGUCUUAUUGUCGUCUCACCUCCAGAUGUUCCUCAUCGCUCUCCUCAGUCCUCUCUUCUCCACACUCACAGCUGACUGAACUGAACCUGAGCGGAAACAACCUGGGAGAUUCAGGAACUGAUCAGCUGUGUGAGGGUCUGAGGACCCCAAACUGUAAAUUAAAGACACUGUGCCUGUUGUUAUGUCAUAUCACCUCCGGAUGUUCCUCAUCUCUCUCCUCAGUCCUCUCUUCUCCACAUUCACAGCUGACUGAACUGGACCUGAGCAACAACAAACUGGGAGAUUCAGGAGCUCAUCAGCUGUGUGAGGGUCUGCGGACCACCAGCUGUAAAUUAAAGACACUUUGGCUGUCUGGUAAUGAAAUCAGUGAGAGUGAGAAGAAGAACCUGAGUUCACUACAGGAGGAGCUGAACAGUACUGGACGGCAGGUGAAUAUUCACACAAAUGAAAACUGGACGUGGUGUUCAACUGACCCCAGUGACGGCGCCCCUGUCCAGUCCCUCUAAAUUCUUCUCUUUAUUCUUUUAUAAUCCCCUUGUAAUGAGUUUAUAUGUUAAAUAUGUCACUGUGCUCUGUACAAUAAAUAUUUUAUAAAUCUGCUUCUUCUCACAAAUUCAGCUAUCACAAGGCCAGAUUUAGCACACAGGGGCUUAGCAUUAAGACAAGACAAGAACAACUAGGAAAUGGGCAUUGUACUAUUUCUGUGUGUCAGAGUCAGCAUGAAACUGAAUCCUCUCUUUGCCUUGUUUGGAAUGGCGUGAUUUACCUUAGUUAGGGCCUGCAAAUGGAGAAAAAGUAGAAAGCCUUGGAACAUUGCCCAGCACACCUUUGAAGCUGACGGAUGGAUGGAAGAUUAUGCCAUCCGAUCCUGAAAAUCUUUCCAGUGCAGCGACAAAAAUGGCAGACUGUAUACAUUAAGAUCUCUCCUCGGUAAAAGUCUUGCUAUCUUCAUCUGUAAUGCUGUGUAAAUCAUCAUUAAAGAAAGCCAAGUUAUGUUCUC
Molecule: long non-coding RNA, 1037 nt
Organism: Polypterus senegalus (gray bichir)
Lineage: Eukaryota; Metazoa; Chordata; Cladistia; Polypteriformes; Polypteridae
Exons: 4
Source: RefSeq, a predicted model, not a curated record